CACGCCCUAAACGAUGUAUACUGGCUUCAGGGACUUCUGACAGUUUCUGGAGCGUAGGGAAACCGUUAAGUAUACCGCCUGGGAAGUACGGUCGCAAGAUUAAAACUCAAAGGAAUUGACGGGGGCUCACACAAGCGGUGGAGCAUGUGGCUUAAUUCGAAGCAACGCGAAGAACCUUACCUAGGUUUGACAUGUUUGGAUAUUGCCCUGGAAACAGGGUUAAUUGCCUUCGGGUGAAACUUACACAGGUGC
This 252-nucleotide ribosomal RNA is filed under the name uncultured bacterium. RNAcentral's name for it is "partial 16S ribosomal RNA". It matches the Rfam family "Bacterial small subunit ribosomal RNA", at positions 796 to 1041 of the family's 1533-position model. The record is from RNAcentral.